AAUAAAUUGGGGAGGGAAACCGUAAGGCCAAACCCUAACCCUACAAAAGGGAAAAGCUUCAGAGAGAGUGGGAGAGUCUUCGGAUUCAGACCAGCAUGUCUUCUCUUUGCAAAUGAAAUGAGUAGAUAGAAUCAAAGUUAUCUGAAAGAAGAUGAAAAGACACAUAGAUACGGAAGGCGUUAGAAGAAAAUCUAGGAAUAAAUUGAAGUUGUUUGGGUUGUUGCUAAACAUUCAGAAGACCAAAAGGAAGAAAUGGUGCAUUUGCCAAUCUUGAUGUUUGGUUUGUGCGGACUCGGAAAAGUUGAAUCUAGUUAGGAAUCAUCUUCAAAAUCAGCAAUUUCUCAUUUUACAGCAUUGGGCUUCGCUGAAAGUCUGAAACUUAAGUUUACAUGUUUGAUUCAUACUUUGUAAGGUUGCUUUAAUGUCUUCAUUUUUCUUAUUUGCAGGUUACUGGUUUGCAGUAAUUUGAGGAUAUGGGAUUCCCCAUCAAUGAAGUUUCAGCAGCCAUUGAUUCAUGUGUUGAAUUCCUUCUUUUAGUCAUAUUAUCUUCUGCUGUCAAGUUAACGCCCUCUCCUCAACUCAAUUGGAUCUCAUGGCAAAAACACUCCCCAAGUUUGUCAUAAUCCAAUCAAACCUAAACAUUAAAUACCUGCACUUGCUACGCAGAAAUGUCAGAGGUACCUAAUGCCCUCCGGUAUACUGGCGAUUACAGUUUCAACUUAGAGACGAGGUUUAAGGGGGUGCUACCACUGAAACUGGACUCGCCCAUAUCCGGUGUUUGCAGAACAACAUGUACUGGGCAAAUUUUGAGUUAUGAAACAGAUUAAAAUGCUUUGAGCUGUCCAAAAGCGUAACAGAGUAUGAUUAAUGUAAGACAUCUUAUACACCUAGUUGGUAAGAGACAAGAAUAUUUUGUGACACUACUAGCCCCAAGUAUUCGUUUUGGAUCCUUAGGAACACUAACUUCGUGGAUAUUUCGUCAAUUGAUAUCAACAAAUUACUCGAAGCCGUAAACUGGAAAGGGACGGUUGAAAUGUGAGGUAACAACAACUAAGAGGCCUUUAUAUAUUAAGGGUUAUUGUCGUUCAAUGUGGGCAAGCCAAGUGGUGCUGGAACCGCUCCAAACAUCAUUGAUGAUAUAAGUCACUAUUCAUCGGGUAUGAUUCUCCCUUCAGUGAAGAGGAGAAGAAGUAGGAUAAGACUCUGAAGUUCAGUUGCAACCUUAACAAUACAGUCUGCAAGCUAACAACUUCAAAGCUACAAGGAGGUCGAAAAGCUUUGCGCAAAGGUCUCAACUUUAACAUUUCUCCCCGAAGCUUCAUAUACUUCCGUGUUCUUUUGAUAAGACUCUGAAGUUCAGUUGCAACCUUAACAAUGCAGCCUGCAAGCUAAAAACUCUGAAGCUACAAGGAGGUUGAAAAGCUUGGCACAAAGGUGGUGGAGACCGAAACUACCAUUUGUAACCGUUGAAGCAUCAAAUGAUGAUGUGCUACAAAGUGUUGUUCUUCCUGAAACAUGGUUUUUGUUGGGACAGAAUCUACCUUGAAGCAGCAAAAGAUGAUGGGGUAAAAUGUAAUCCUGCCAAAGAUAUGGUUUCUGCUGGGAAGGAAUCUCCCUUAGUCGAUAAGAAGAUGGAGUCUUUGGAAGUGGCUGUUUCAGAAAUUAAAAAGUUUGUUAUACCAAAGGCUGCGCUACUCCGAAAGCAGAUAUAUGUAUACAUUUUUGAGCGGCCAUUUUAUCAUCUUCUUCAAAGUAAAGCUUCAAUAGGGUCCAGGGUAAAGCAUUUUCGGCCAUUUAUAAAAGUACCGAAUACUACUGAUUUAAUCGACGGAGCUCGUAAUGGAACCGCGAGUCAUGGAGAAAGCACAGGCUGAAGUUACCCAUUCCUGCCUUUGCUUUGUAGCUGGAAUGAUUUCUAUCUUAGCUCGGAUUUUCUUUUUCUUUUCCUAGUUCUAGUUUGUUCUUUGGUUUAGGAUUUCCUUUUCCCAGAGUUUUUCCUUUUUCUUUUGAAGCAUCCCGUAAUGAGAUGUUUUCAUCAUUACUUGAUUUUAGACGAUUCAAAAUGGACGGUUGUGAUGAUAUUGCUUAUGUACCAAGGUUGUAUUUGUCUCGACGGUGUGCCCGUCAUAGUGCGCCAACAUAAUUGGCGUGAAUGUGGUAAACAGAAACAGAAAACAGAUUUGAUGCGCAUUUUGCAAUGAUGAUAUACCCGAGAAAGCAUUCAAUUC
Papaver somniferum (opium poppy) is the source of this 2228-nucleotide long non-coding RNA. RefSeq lists it as uncharacterized. The transcript is spliced from 6 exons. The record is from RefSeq and is a predicted model, not a curated record. NCBI's taxonomy places the organism in Eukaryota, Viridiplantae, Streptophyta, Magnoliopsida, Ranunculales, Papaveraceae.